AUACCGCAUCUAUAAAUGAACGGGGCCUCAGUGGGAAUGAUUAUUUUCUCAGGUGUCUGCAACAGUGUUGCAACUAACGCUACAAUGCCUGAACCUACCAAGUCCGCUCCCGCCCCGAAGAAGGGCUCCAAGAAGGCGGUGACCAAGGCGCAGAAGAAGGACGGCAAGAAGCGCAAGCGCAGCCGCAAGGAGAGCUACUCCGUGUACGUGUACAAGGUGCUGAAGCAGGUCCACCCCGACACCGGCAUCUCCUCCAAGGCCAUGGGCAUCAUGAACUCCUUCGUCAACGACAUCUUCGAGCGCAUCGCGGGCGAGGCUUCCCGCCUGGCGCAUUACAACAAGCGCUCGACCAUCACCUCCAGGGAGAUCCAGACGGCCGUGCGCCUGCUGCUGCCCGGGGAGCUGGCCAAGCACGCGGUGUCCGAGGGCACCAAGGCCGUCACCAAGUACACCAGCUCCAAGUAACUUUGCCAAAUGCCCCUGAGUACCGAGGACUGGAGGAGGUAGAAAGGGAAAGAAAACUCCCUUCUGGAAGGAUGUAGCUUCUGCACAAGGUCAUGCAGCCAUGUACUAUAUCCAGCAUCACAGAAACCUCAACGUUUUUCCUCUGCUGUGUCUGGGGCAUAAAGAAGCCUUGGGGUAUGGUGAAAGGCUGUUCUUACCAGGAGUACACUCACAGGCCAGGGGGCUGCCAUCUUCUUCACAGAUAUUCCCAAAAGAGGAACCCCCUUGGGGCAGAAAGUAAGUAAGCUGCUUAUGAGAAGGCCCUGGAAGUGAGAAGAAGGACCAAGGAAGAUGACUACAAAGGGUGAGGAUUGUUUUUGUUAAAAAAAAAAAAAAAAAAAAAAAAAAGCCUGGGUGGAGUAAUCUGAAUCACCUGGCACCCGCCUGAAUGGAAUCCUCCCAUGCUGAAGGGUCCUUGGAGUUCCCCAGCCCCCACCUUCUCCCCCUUAAGGCAUGCUGAUACUGAAUGUUAUAACUUUGAGCCGUUUCUCACUAGAGACAAAAACUUGUCAUCUGGCCUUGCAGAGAAGGUUCCACCUUAAUGCUCAAAGUACAUUAUCUUUACUAUGGGCUAGGGUAUGAUACUUGAAGGAGCUUGUGUUAGAACAGUAUUAUUGAGAGUAUCUGCUUUCCAGGCUUAAGUGAUUCAUUUAUUAUUCUAGUCCUGCUUUA
Molecule: long non-coding RNA, 1176 nt
Organism: Saimiri boliviensis boliviensis (Bolivian squirrel monkey)
Lineage: Eukaryota; Metazoa; Chordata; Mammalia; Primates; Cebidae
Source: RefSeq, a predicted model, not a curated record